GGCGUUGUAGCUGAGCUGGUAAAGCGCGACGUCGUCAAGGUCGCUGAGCUUGCUCAGUUGCGUGUCAUCCAAGGCGACUUUCGCCAACGGCUCCA
RNAcentral lists this transfer RNA (95 nucleotides) under Pseudomonas zanjanensis. Its description in RNAcentral is "tRNA-Asp". RNAcentral also lists the same sequence under 1 other name. Lineage: Bacteria; Pseudomonadati; Pseudomonadota; Gammaproteobacteria; Pseudomonadales; Pseudomonadaceae. The record is from RNAcentral.